This is a long non-coding RNA of Procambarus clarkii (red swamp crayfish), 673 nucleotides long. RefSeq lists it as uncharacterized. The record is from RefSeq and is a predicted model, not a curated record. Lineage: Eukaryota; Metazoa; Arthropoda; Malacostraca; Decapoda; Cambaridae.
UAAGAUGGUGGACCAGUAUUUACAACUCGUAAAACACACACAUCAUGCAAUAACACCUUACACAUACUUAUAUAAUUACUUGACUCUUUUGAAUAAGACCAUCCUCAUUAACGACCAAAAAAGUCACGUCAUUAAGCAAUGUCACUAGAGCGUGUUGUUUAUGUCCUCAACAGCACCCUCUCGCCCACAUGUUACCCCGAGACUUCCCGGAGCUGUGGAAUGGACACGAUGAGGAAGGCUUCUCUAGGAACGGUCGUGACCUCAGCCACUUGGGGUCAAAGUUCGAGCACGCCCAGGCCAAGUGACCUUUCUAUCGUGACCUCGCAGCUCCACGAGCUCGAAGGAUGAGCGUGAGAGUGUGGACCAGCGGUGCCGACUACUAGUCCACGAUUGGAUUUAGAACCCUCCAAACACACACCGAAACUACGACGUUGGUACAACGUUCGAACAAGUUUUAACACCUCCUAACCAGUUAUAACAACCAAUAUAGCAAGUUGUAACAACGUUCUAAUACGUCAUAAACACGUUAAGCCAAGAUGUAACAACUUUAUUACAAGUUGUAACAAGCGGAAAAUAGAGACAGUUUCGGUUUGUGUUUCCAGGGAAGAUGGUAACGUUCCAGGGGAAAUACACCUUAUGCAGGCGAUGAGUCACAAUAACGUGGGUAAAGUAU